This is a long non-coding RNA of Manis javanica (Malayan pangolin), 4659 nucleotides long. RefSeq lists it as uncharacterized. Lineage: Eukaryota; Metazoa; Chordata; Mammalia; Pholidota; Manidae. The record is from RefSeq and is a predicted model, not a curated record.
UUUUAGAGCAUCCCUUUUGGGUACCAGAAGACACACACAGGAUCAAAGGGCCAUGUGACCAAACCCCAAACCUGCAGACCCAACCUCAAAGGCCAAAAACAUCCUAGAGUACCGAGGAGCCCCUGGGGCACAAAUGGGGAGGACACACAGUGGCUGCCUGAGGCUGGAUGCUGCGAGGUGCAAGGAAGAGAUAAUGACAAGAGGAUGGCUAGACUGGACCCCAAAGGUGACUUGGAGAUGGGACUGUGCCCGAAAGGACAUCAAGUACAUUUCCCAGAGAAGAACACCUUCUUUAGAAAGAGUAUUAUUGGAAGUGAAAGGGAGCAGCGAGUGUCCUAAGCAGAGUCUAUGUAGAAACGAAUCUCCUGGUGAGAGUCGCCUCAGCCCUGUCCAGGUGCAGCACCAGUGAUGCCUGCAGAAAUCUCCCUCAGAAUGAGAUCCACUCUUCCCGGAGGAUGCUGAGCCCUCCUGUGUGGGGGCUGUUUCUUCUUCCCGGUCCCCAUGGAGCACAGGCCUGGGAGGUGGGAUAGGAGUCUUUUUCGUUUCUCAUCGUGUCUUUCUGACCAUUUCUUCCUGCCUUCCUCAAACAUUCUGGCCUUUCGAGGUAAGUGCCAUUCCCAUAUGUAUUCAUCUGGAGUCUCCAGACAACAGGACCGGUUUCCUGUACCCUAUAUAUUAUGUAUGUGUCUUAUAUAUUUUAUAUUUUUGUAUUUACUAUAAGCAAUUGGCUUACAUGACUAAUGAGGCUGAGAAGUCUAAGAUGGGCAGUUGGCAAACUGGGGACCCAGGAGGGCUGCGGGUACAGUUUCAGUGUGAAUUCAAAGGCCUGACAACCAGGGAGCCAAUCUGUGGGAGGUCCCGUCUGAAUCCGAGUCUGAAGGUGGGAGGGGACCGAUGUUGCAGCUCAAACACGGAGAGGCGGAAGGGAAGGCUUCUCUCCUUCUCUGCCUUUUGGUCAAUGUUCUUUGCCUUCGGUGGGUUGGAGGAGGCCCACCCACACUGGGAAGGGCAAUUUGCUUCACUAAGUGUGCAGAUUCAAACAUUGCUUUCAUCUAGGAACACCUUCACAGAAACACCCAGAGAAUGUUGGACCAAAUAUCUGGGUGCUCUGUGGCCCAGGCAAGUCAGUACCUAUAAUUAGGCAUCACGCCAUAUUCAUUUGUCACUGUCCUCUGCCUGUCUUCUGGUCACUUCCUGUUCUCUGAAGGUUUGGAAACUCACUUCAUUCUUAUUAUCUGGGGAACUGUGGAGUUCCACUCAAAGCCUCCUCAAAACUUGGGACAUGGGCUACAAGUGUGGUCAGAGAGUGAGAGACUUCCAGAGAGAUGGCCCCUCUGGAAGGGUGGGCUUGCAUUUCAAGGGGGAGGGUGCGACCCAGGGCCACUGCAUGUUCCUGUGUUCUAAAUCUGGAGACACUAAUCAUCUCUUCCUCUUAGGGUAAUUUAUGCACAUUUCAAAGGGUGAGAAUCCGGGAUCCUUCCCAGGGAAGAUUUAUUUAUACUAGGAAGCGACAACCUCCAUCGCCGUCACCCUGUCAAAUGCGCCGUCAUCUCUUACUGCUGAUGUUCUCCCAGUUCCUCCUACGUCACAGAAUAAUCAGUGAUAUUUUAAGAUACAAAUCAGAUUGUAUCAUUCUCUGCUCUGAAACCCCUAAAGCUUCUCAACACAUUUAGAAAAAGUACCCCCCAUUUUUUUGAUCAUGGCCCAUAAGUCUCUACAUGUCUGUAUAACUUUAUGAUCCUGAAUUCCUCCAUACUCCUUCUCUCUCAUUUUACUCCAACCUCAUUGGUCUUGCAAUUUCUGAAACACGCCAAGCCCGUGCCUGCCCCAGAGCUCCUAUCCUUGUAGCACCUUCCCUUGAAUCCUUGCUCUGUGCCCAGAUCAUCAGCAGGCUUGCUCCCUCAGGACAGGGCUAAACUGGCACCUCCAUGGGCAGGACCUCUCUGUCAACCAUACCUGUAAUUGUCCCCUGCCCUCCUCCUGCCCCCUCUAUCCCUUCACCUGCCCUAUUAUUCCUGGUAGUGUUUAGUAGUAUUUAAAAUCAGUAUCAUAGACUCAUUCCUUUGUUAGCUUAUUGUCUGUUUCUGCCAGAAAAUGGGCAUUACAAGGGGCCUUAAAAGUUUGUCUUGUCUGUUGAUGUUUUGUGCAUUACUGACCAGUACAGCUCCUGGCACAUAAAAGGGCUCAAUUUUUUUUGAUGAAUGAAUGAGUGAAGGGCAGUAUCUGAGCCUUUGAUUCAAUAAACCCAUCUCUUCCACAUCUUAAGUUCUUGGAGAGGGAAUGAAAAGAGGUACACUUCCAGUUUUCUACAUGAUUCAUUCUUUAUCAGACAGAUCAACACACCAGCAAGCGUACAGGGUGAAGGGUCUGUAUGGAGCUAUGGGAGACAGGGGUGCUGGGCCGGGCUGGCAUGUUGCAUGUUCCCCAACACAGCAGAAUAAGAGCCCACAGGGCACAUCAUGCAGGGGGAGUAUCUGAUGGGCUGGUGGCUGCUGCAUCAUGGAGGUCAUGGCCCUGUGCUUGUUCCUCUGGUUUUCUGCUGAACCCACAUAGUUUUUGAAUAUAAUGACAGCUGGAAGAGGGUUCUCCCCUCCUCCUGUUUACAAAAUGAGCUGGUACCCUGCUGUUACAGUCUGCAGGAGAAGUCACCAAGCAUGACCUUCCAAUUAAAUCAUGUAUCCAGCAUCUCUCAUUUCUGAUGACAUCUUUGAAGUGCUGAGACACCCCUGGGCAUGUGAUGUGAAAGAAUACUGGUCCACAGAACAACUCCUUCAUCCAGGGAGGAGGUUCUAGCAGGUGAGUCCCUGAAUUUAUGUGAAGAGCAGAAUGGCCCCCUCUCAUCCCCUACUUCCUCCCAGCCAGGCUUCAGGACCCAGUAGGUCCAGCAGGGCUCACGCUUCUGUAGCCUUUGUUUAACAUCAUGAGUUUUUUUGUAGCUUUGACCAAACAUUUUUUUAUGAUUGCAAAAUUGAAAUUUACAUUUAUUAUGUGUUAAAAAAUAGUUACUUUGUCCUGGUCCGGUUCCUGCACUGGCACCCUGGGUGGAGUAGCAUUUUGGAGUGCAUGCUGACUUUAUUGUUUCUACCUGCAGCAAUUGACAGCCUUGGGGUCACAUGGAGCUGCAAAUUAGAGGUGCCUUAUGGUGGAUAAUGAUACGCGAGAGCAUUUACCGGAGCUCCUAUGUGCCAGGUCUGUGCCGAGGGCAGCACUUUGCAUGCACACUCACUCCUCACCCACCCUCUUUUCAUACUGUCCCCAAGGCAGCAGGGAACCGGCUCAUGUCAAGGUCACCAACGACUGCCAUCUUGUGAAGGUCCAGGAAAGCUACCUCAGUUCCCUCAUGCAUUCUCUUGGAAGCGUCUGAUUCCCGUGACUACUUCCUUCUUCUUCAGCUCCUGUGUUGUUUCAUUGUCCUGAUUUUCCUCCUCGCCCAGAUUGCCGUCUCUGUUUUCACCAGAUCACUUGCUGGAGAACCCCUCGUCUGUGGCCUUCGUCCUGUCUGUCUGUUUACAUUUUUUCCUCAGAUUUAUGUCACCUCUUCAGAGAGGCCUUCCUUGCCUGAUGGGGAAACCGAGACUCAGGGAAAUCCAGUAACUUGUGUGAAUCUCCUCUGCUGAAUUGAGAACACAGUGCCAUGCAGGGCUUAUAAAGGACCGCCCUGCAGAGGCUACAGGGGAUAGAAGGAAGCAAAAGAGGUGGAUAAGGAGGAAGUGAGCCCAUGAGCAUCUUUGGCAACAGCCACAGAGCCCAGUCACGGAACAACUGGAUGUUAAAUAAAAUGGGGAGUGAGCCUGCUAACUCCUCGGUACAGCCAAAAAUAUGACAUUGCACUGUAAGCCAUAGAUCACAAAAUCAGGACUGCAAAACUAACCUGCUGUCCCCACCAGAGGAAUAUUAUUUAUUUCUUAGGGAGGUAAAGUAGGCACAUGACCCUCAUUCAUACCUGUAUCUGUAGUUAGCACCUUAUACUUAAUUUAGCAACCUAGUUAAUACUCAACAAUUGUUUGCCCCUGAUUAUUCUCCAUAAGCCCCCUAGUUUAACAUUGCCAUUAAAAAAUCCCGGUGGGUAUUGCUUGAAGUAGAAAUAUUUGAAACUGGUGACCAACAUUGUUACAGGCUUGGAAUUGGAAAGAUUCCAUUAAAAGCAAGAAUGGAUGUAUUAACUCUUGUGUUAGGUCAUUUAGGUGGUUUUGUUAGGUGCUUCUCUACCCAAACCUUCCUGGGAGAGAGAAAGACAGGAGAUCCUUAUGAUGGGCCAAGAAAGAAGGUUAUUGCAUGAACAGACUCAGCUACCAGCAUGUGCUAAGUUUAAUAGUGUCCCCCAAAUUCAUGUCCAUCUAGAACCUGUGAAUGUGACUUUAUUCAGAAAUAGGGUCUUUGCUGAUAUUAUCAAGUCAAGAUGAAGCCAUUAGGAUAGGUCCUAAAUCCAAUACGACUAAUGUCUUUAUCAAAGGGGAAAUUGGACCAGGAGAUACAGACACGCAGGGAGAAGGCUGUGUGGAAGCAGAGGCAGAGACUGCAGUGAUGCAGUGGUGAGCCUUAGGAGAGCCCAGGGGUCCCAGGGGGGCCGACCACCACCAGAGGUCGGGCAGGCACGAGAAAGGGUCCCCCGCUAGUCUUCAGACAGAGCAUGGCCCUGCCGGUACUUGGAUUUCCCGU